Molecule: long non-coding RNA, 429 nt
Organism: Hibiscus syriacus
Lineage: Eukaryota; Viridiplantae; Streptophyta; Magnoliopsida; Malvales; Malvaceae
Exons: 2
Source: RefSeq, a predicted model, not a curated record
CGUGAAACGAACAAAUCAAAACAGAAAAAAAAAACAAUAUUUUUGUUGUAAUGCAUGUUUAAAAAGGCUGGUAGGUAAUUGAAAGUGAAGCAGAAGAUUGGGUUGGCCUUUGGGUAUCCUUUUACUGAGAACCAAAGCCAUAGGAGAGUGAUAAAGGAAGAAACUUUUCGAGAGAGAAACAAUGGGAGGAGGAGGGGGAGGAGAAGACGAAGCAUCGUUGGAGUACACUCCAACAUGGGUUAUAGCAGUAGUUUGUUUUGUGAUUAUUGCAAUUUCUUUUGCUAUGGAACGUUUGCUUCAUCAUUUAGGGGAUGUUUUGAAGGAGAAACAACAGAAACCACUCUACGAGGCUCUUUUGAAAGUCUAGGAAGAGUUGAUGCUCUUGGGGUUUAUAUCACUGUUGUUGACAGCAUUUCAGAGUGCAAUUUC